This 484-nucleotide ribosomal RNA is filed under the name uncultured bacterium. RNAcentral describes it as "partial 16S ribosomal RNA". It matches the Rfam family "Bacterial small subunit ribosomal RNA", at positions 28 to 523 of the family's 1533-position model. The record is from RNAcentral.
GACGAACGCUGGCGGCGUGCUUAACACAUGCAAGUCGAACGAUGAACCCGGAGCUUGCUCCGGUGGAUUAGUGGCGAACGGGUGAGUAACACGUGAGUAACCUGCCCUUGACUCUGGGAUAACUGCGGGAAACUGUAGCUAAUACCGGAUACGACCCUCGGCGGCAUCGCCAGGGGGUGGAAAGAAUUUCGGUCAAGGAUGGACUCGCGGCCUAUCAGCUAGUUGGUGAGGUAACGGCUCACCAAGGCGACGACGGGUAGCCGGCCUGAGAGGGUGACCGGCCACACUGGGACUGGGAUACGGCCCAGACUCCUACGGGAGGCAGCAGUGGGGAAUAUUGCACGAUGGGCGCAAGCCUGAUGCAGCGACGCCGCGUGAGGGAUGACGGCCUUCGGGUUGUAAACCUCUUUCAGCAUCGACGAAGCGAAAGUGACGGUAGGUGCAGAAGAAGGACCGGCCAACUACGUGCCAGCCGCCGCCGUAA